This 468-nucleotide ribosomal RNA is filed under the name uncultured bacterium. RNAcentral describes it as "partial 16S ribosomal RNA". It matches the Rfam family "Bacterial small subunit ribosomal RNA", at positions 28 to 507 of the family's 1533-position model. The record is from RNAcentral.
GACGAACGCUGGCGGCGUGCUUAACACAUGCAAGUCGAACGGAAAGGCCCUGCUUUUGUGGGGUGCUCGAGUGGCGAACGGGUGAGUAACACGUGAGUAACCUGCCCUUGACUUUGGGAUAACUUCAGGUAACUGGGGCUAAUACCGGAUAGGAGCUCCUGCUGCAUGGUGGGGGUUGGAAAGUUUCGGCGGUUGGGGAUGGACUCGCGGCUUAUCAGCUUGUUGGUGGGGUAGUGGCUUACCAAGGCUUUGACGGGUAGCCGGCCUGAGAGGGUGACCGGCCAAAUUGGGACGGGGAUACGGCCAGGACUCCUACGGGAGGCAGCAGUGGGGAAUAUGGCACAAUGGGCGGAAGCCGGAUGCAGCAACGCCGCGGGCGGGAUGACGGCCUUCGGGUGGUAAACCGCUUUCGCCGGUGACGAAGCGUGAGUGACGGUAAUGGGUAAAGAAGCACCGGCUAACUACGUG